RNAcentral lists this ribosomal RNA (389 nucleotides) under uncultured bacterium. RNAcentral's name for it is "bacterial SSU rRNA". It matches the Rfam family "Bacterial small subunit ribosomal RNA", at positions 30 to 422 of the family's 1533-position model. The record is from RNAcentral.
AUUGAACGCUGGCGGCAUGCCUUACACAUGCAAGUCGAACGGCAGCGCGGGGCAACCUGGCGGCGAGUGGCGAACGGGUGAGUAAUAUAUCGGAACAUACCCUAGAGUGGGGGAUAACGUAGCGAAAGUUACGCUAAUACCGCAUACGCACUAAGGUGGAAAGUGGGGGAUCUUCGGACCUCAUGCUCAUGGAGUGGCCGAUAUCUGAUUAGCUAGUUGGUGAGGUAAAGGCUCACCAAGGCGACGAUCAGUAGCUGGUUUGAGAGAACGACCAGCCACACUGGAACUGAGACACGGUCCAGACUCCUACGGAGGCAGCAGUGGGGAAUUUUGGACAAUGGGGGCAACCCUGAUCCAGCAAUGCCGCGUGAGUGAAGAAGGCCUGGUGU